Molecule: long non-coding RNA, 1980 nt
Organism: Orcinus orca (killer whale)
Lineage: Eukaryota; Metazoa; Chordata; Mammalia; Artiodactyla; Delphinidae
Exons: 5
Source: RefSeq, a predicted model, not a curated record
ACCAUGAAGUUAAUUAACCAUCACCUUACAUAUUUACCUUUUUUUUUUUUUGGUGAGAACAUUUAAGUUCUACUUCUUAGCACAUUUCAAUUUUAUAAUAUCAUGUUGUCAACCAUAGUUACCAUGUUAUACAUUAGAUCCUCAGAACUUAUUCAUCCUAUAACUGAAAGUUAUACCCUCUCCCCAACCUCUCCCUGCUUCCCCCACACCCAGCCCCUGGAAGCCACUUUUCUACUCUCUGUUUCUAUGAGUUUGACCUUUUUUUUUUUUUUAAGAUUCCUCAUAUAAGCUAUAAGUGUGUAGGUGGACAUGCAGUAUUUAUCUGGCUUAUUUCAGGCAAACAAUUAUAUUGAAAUACAGUUAACAAACUAUUACAAAGCCAAACUGUGCUUCUUUAACACACCACAUAAGAUCUGGUGGUGGGUCGGCUGCAUUAUUAUGAUUGUAAUUUUAAGCAGGUAAUGAGUGUAAAUGAUGUUCUAAGAUAUCUGCAACAAACUUAAUGAGACAUGAAAAUAUCUUUGAUUCCAAUUGGUGACAAAGUCAUGGGGGCUGCAGACACUACUGCAGUUUUGUUGCCGACAUUCAUAAUGGAAGGAGAUGUAACAUUUCAGUUAGAUGUACAGAAAAUUAAUAAGAGGUAAUGUCUUUUUCCCAUCCAAGUUCACUGACUCCAGGUUACAUGCUUAUGGACCCCAGGUUAAGAGCCCUUGCUGGAGUUAGAUAGACUCGGGUUUCAACCCCUGCUCUAUACCUUCCUGUGCAGGACAUUUGUGUGAAUUGCUUUUCCUACCUGCAUCUCGGUUUCCUCACCUGUAAAAUGGGUAUAAGACUAGUGAGCUCAUAGGGCUGCCAGGAGGAAUAAACAUGAUAAACCAAAUUCAACACACAUUUAUUUAUUUAAAAUUUUACUUUAUUGUGGUAAGAACAUUUAACAGGAGAUCUGCCCUCUUGACAAGAAGAUAAGAAAUCUUGAAAAGGACGUGCAGAAAUUGGAACCUUGCACAUUAUUGGUAAGAAUGCAAAACAGUACAGCUGAUGUGGAAAACAGCAGUGUGGAGUUUCUUCACAAAAUUAAAAAUAGAACCACUAUAUGAUCCAGCAGUCCUACCUUUGGGUAUCUAUCCAAAAGAAUCAAAAAUCAAGAUUUUGAAGAGAGAUUUGUACUCUCAUGAUCAUUGUAGCAUUAUCCUCAAUAGCCAAGAUAAACAACCUAAGUGUCCAUCAACAUGGGUGGAUAAAGAAAAUGUAUACAGUACAUACAGUACAUACAGUGGGGCUACUAUUCAGCCUUAUAAAAAAGGAAAAUUUGCAAUAUGUGACAACAUGGAUGAACCUUCUCAACAUUUAUUGAGAACUUUUAUGUGCUCAGGAACUGUUUUAGGUGCCGGGGACUCUAUACUGAACGAGAGAGGCAAAAUCCCUGCCCUUACGGAAUUUACCAUCGGGGCAGGGACAAUGAUCAGGAGAUGGUGUGUUAACAUCUAUGUCAUGAAGCUACAAAGGCACUGAACAUCUUCUUGGAGGAAGAGGAAUCUUGGUUCUAGUUAAUGAGAGAAGCAGCAUAGCCCAGUGGUUAAGUGUGCAAGCUCGGAAGUGACGCAGCUGGGUUCCAAUCCUAAAUUCUGCCUCUUGCCAGCUCUGCAUAAACUGGUGGCAAACUACUUCACUUCUGCAAGCCUCCUGCGCCAUGCCUACAGAUACAGGACUGGAACUGAGACAUCAGCUCUUCUGGGGUCUCGAGUCACCAGCCUUUGGGCCUGCAGCUACACCAUUGACUUUCCUGCUUCUCAGGCCUUUGGAAUUGUACUGCAAUUUACAUCAUCAGUUCUCCUGGGUCUUCAGCUGCUGACAGCAGAUCUGGGGACUUAGCUUCCGUAAUCAGCCAAAUGUAACAUCGUCAAAGUGAUUCUCUGGUUCAAAAACGGAGGAUGUUGAGGAACAUCCCAUGAGGCCCCUGAGCGUCCCAGUCUCCUGGCG